UGGCCCAUUGUUAUUCGUUUGAAUCAGCACAGGAAGGAGAAUCUCGUCGUCCACCUCUCCCCAAACCACCACCCCCGUGGAAGAAGCCCCAGCCACAGAACAGACUUGCCUCUCUGCCCUAUUUUCUCUCCCCUCGGGCGACGGCGGCGGGGUGCUGCCCGGCGAGAUGUCCACCAGACGCCGGGUUCGGGCUCUCUGGAGCACUCAUCCUCUUACACUCCGGCGGCCAAAUCACCCGGAUCCCGCGUCAUCUUCCACUUCGGCGGCGACUCAACUCAAGUUUGCACAACACCGGAUCUGCCCAGGGCAAGGUCCUCGUCCACGGAUCUAUCCGGGAAAAAUCAUUUUCUACAUUGUUUCGGUCGGUGAGGCUGGAUCACACAUCAAUUACUUGUGCUUUUCUCCUAGCUGUUGUUCAUCUGUUUCAGAUUUGCACUUUUUUGGUGAUUUUUAUUUUGUUCCAUCUAUUCCUUUGGUACGGGUGGUCUAGGUGUAUGGCUCGAUCGAGAUGCAUAUCACUUCUGUUAUUGAAUCCAAAAUAGGCUGCUCUUUUUUUUCUUGUAAUCCCCUUCCAUCUAUUCCUUAUGUGCAGAUGCGAUUUUCUUUUCUUUGCUUGUAAUCCCCUUCGUCUGAACUAGAUAAGUCUCUCCUCAUCCUGUUGCUGCGCAGAUCUGAAUUUGCCGUGAUGUUUGUUUAGACAAUAUAUAGAAUUUUUUUGUUCAUACCCAUGCUUAUGUGCCAGAUCGGCUUCAUUUUUCUGAUGUCUUGAGGAUUCCUCUAACUUGGAUAAUCGAUGCUUAAUCCUGAUGGAACUUAAUAAUGGAUUUGAUGUUCUGUUCUUGAGCUAAUCCAAGGUUCAUAAUUAUUUCAUUCAAGUGGGGUAAAGUUUGAAUUCCUACCACUGAUUGCCAAGAUUUUCUGUUCCAUGGAUUUCAGUUUGUUUCGUUGACCCCUUAUCCACCGGAGUCACAGACUUGAGCAACGCUGAAGAUCAAGUGUGCCGUGGCGGCAAGGCCGCAUCCCUUGCCGGAAACGCUGGUUGAGCUACAAGUGGCUGGACCAAAAGGUAUUUUAGAUUAAAAUGUUCUCAUCCAAAAAAACCUUUAAUUCUGAACAUAGUAUGUGUCGGCCUUGUUCUUUGUUAGAUUUUGAAUAUAACCACAUUUCUCUCCUGAAAUCAGUAUCGUACAAGAUCGAAUUUCGUGGCUUCUGUGUCCCUUGUGUGAGAAACAUUCUGUGGGUUAGAUAUUUAGGAAAAAAAAUAUGAUGAUGCAUUUGUGUUCUACUGCGUUUGUAUGGUUGUCAAUCAGUGUCCCAGAUGGAUGGGCUUUGUUUAUUCACAAAAUGAAUUUGACAUGUCUGGAUGCAUUGCGUGAUUGGCUUGUUCUUUGUUCACUGCAUAACUUACUUCGGAGCAUCCUCUAAUGAAGCGGUUUCUGUUCUGUUCUUGAUCAGAACCAUGCUGAUAUGGUCUGUAUCAUGAACACUGAAGUAGAAGGCGUUUAAUCUGAUGCAUUUUUCUACUGUUGUGAUCUUGUAAUAUUGCCUUCUGGCCAGUUCAGCAAAAUCCCUGGUUGAAGCUACUCAAGCUCUGUUUCUUUGGCUGUUAUUCUCUGUCGGCGAUCCAUUCGACUUGGGCAUAUGUUUGUAAUUAUUGUAAUGGAUUUGUACCAUUUGUGAACCAUGUCAAAUUGUUAAAGAUGGGUGAUGGGUAUUCCAAUUA
This is a long non-coding RNA of Triticum dicoccoides, 1723 nucleotides long. RefSeq lists it as uncharacterized. The transcript is spliced from 2 exons. The record is from RefSeq and is a predicted model, not a curated record. Lineage: Eukaryota; Viridiplantae; Streptophyta; Magnoliopsida; Poales; Poaceae.